RNAcentral lists this ribosomal RNA (465 nucleotides) under uncultured bacterium. Its description in RNAcentral is "partial 16S ribosomal RNA". It matches the Rfam family "Bacterial small subunit ribosomal RNA", at positions 28 to 507 of the family's 1533-position model. The record is from RNAcentral.
GACGAACGCUGGCGGCGUGCUUAACACAUGCCAGUCGAACGGAAAGGCCCCUUUGGGGGUACUCGAGUGGCGAACGGGUGAGUAACACAUGAGUAACCUGCCCUUGACUUCGGGAUAACUUCAGGAAACUGGGGCUAAUACCGGAUAGGAAUCCUUGCUGCAUGGUGGGGGUUGGAAAGCUUCGGCGGUUUUGGAUGGACUCGCGGCUUAUCAGCUUGUUGGUGGGGUAGUGGCUUACCAAGGCUUUGACGGGUAGCCGGCCUGAGAGGGCGACCGGCCACAUUGGGACUGAGAUACGGCCCAGACUCCUACGGGAGGCAGCAGUGGGGAAUAUUGCACAAUGGGCGGAAGCCUGAUGCAGCAACGCCGCGUGCGGGAUGACGGCCUUCGGGUUGUAAACCGCUUUCAGCAGGGGCGAAGCUUGUGGUGACGGUACCUGCAGAAGAAGCACCGGCUAACUACGUG